AAUAUGAAAGGGACUUGACAACAUUUUGUGACCUAUCUAUGCGCUCUCUUGUCAUACGUUAUGACAACAAAAAAAUAAAAACAAAUUUGUAAAAAAUCUCAUUGGCUACUACUUUCACACAAGGAUUGACAAAUAUUCAUUCCUGUCCAUUGGAUUACACUUUAAUCGAAUGGACCAUAUCUUCAUUUUCAUCUGUUUUUCUUCUCUCCUCUUAAUCCUCUCAAUCUCUCCAUAGCUUCUCUCAAUCUCUGGACGAAAUUGGUAAAACCAAGCUCAAUCUAAUCAUCACUUGUGUCUUCUUCUUUAUCUACAUUGUUUAUCUCUCAAUCUCUCAUCACUUGUGUCUUCUUCUUCUUUGUCCCUACAUGAACAUGAAGUUUGGGUGGAAGAAGACAAAAACGAAGCUCAUGGCUUGGAGGAAAACGACGACAGUGAAGCGCAGGAGCUAUGGCGAAGGAGGCGCUGAAGCGGAGGUGGAGGCGCGGCAGACUCGUCUCGGUCAAGCUCUCUGUUGGCUUCACCUACUCACCACCUUCACAGAUCUGAGAAGCAGCAGUGAUGAAACAGGAAAGAGAAGCAGUGGUGUGACAGAGAGUGUCUCCGGUUAAGGGUGGUGCGUUGGUGAUGCAAAAGCCGUUGGUGGUGCAAAAGCAGUUGGUGGUGCGGCGAUGGUGUGACAGAGCGGCGCUGUGAGAUCCGGUUAGGCCGGGGAGGCGGCUUGAAGCUUGAAGAUUAGGUUUAGUAUUUUUUCUGGUUUUACUUCUUCUUCUUUUUUUAAUUCUGGUUUAGUUUGUCAACCGGAUUUAAUUGUAAACCAAACUUUUAUUUGUAAACCAAAUUCAAUUAUUUUGUAAAAAAAAAUCAAUGUAUUAUAUAUUUCCAUUGUAUUUUGUGAUUUAUAAUUUUUAAAUUUUUAAUAAUGUCAAAAAUAGUGAAAAUUAUAUAUUUUUAAAAAUAUUUUUCAAAACAUUUGCGAGGAAACUGUGUUUCAUAAAUCUAUUGCAAAUUUGCGAGGAACCAUUUUCCAUCGCAAUUUGCAAUGAACCCUUUUCCGUCGCAAAUUUGCGAGGAACCGUCUUCCGUUGCAAAUUUGCGUGGAAACGUUUUCCCUCGCAAAUUUGCAAGGGAAUUGCGAGUGUUUUUUAUUUGCGAGAACGGAUUUGCGACAGAAAAUAUUUACAUCGCAAUUUCCUUGCAAAUCGCAAUUUGCAAGAGAAUUGCGAGACUUUCUUCCCUUGCAACAAACUAGUUUUCUUGUAGUGAUGACUAUACUAUCAUACACUCAUCUUCCAUAUUCAACAUAACACAAUUUUUUUGUAGCUUCGAGUUCGACUCUAGGGUAUGUAAACAGUGUGCAUGACCUCAUGAUUGUCCAGGAUUGGUGUAGGCGUUUAUCCAUGGUGCGUUUCACGGAAUUCGGAAGUGGGACGUUUCAAGAAAAACUGAAUAUUUUCUAGUAAAUUGCUAGUGAUGUGUAUUAUUUAUCAGACGAUGACAUAACUAAUAAGUUUCAAUUUUUUUGGACCAGAUAAUUGAUGAAUAUUGAUAGUAUGACAUCAUGAACGUGCAGCGUAACUAUAUUUUAUACUUUUACAAAAGAAAAACUAUAUUUUAUAAACAAAAUACAUAUAGUAUACACCUUGCAAUAUAUAGAUGUCCCAAAACCGUGGGCGUACACCAGCUUUUUCUUCUUCUUUUUCCCAGUUUUGACAUCAAUAGAUUACUGUAUUUAGGUUGAUCCAAAAAAAAAAAGAUUAGUAAAUUUAGUAUUUAGUACUAUUUACUACUCUCUCUGUUUUUUAAAGAUGAAUGUUCUAGGAUUUUCAGACUUAUUAAGAAACCAUAUUAAAACUUAGUUAUUAAUGCAUAGUUUUUUGUAACUUUAUAUUUCUUAUAUUUUUAAACCAAUAGGAUUAAAAGAAAUGUAAUUAAUAUUUUUGAAACACACAAUUUUUCAUUAUUAGUUGACAAAAUAUGCUUUGAAAACAUGAAAAAUACAUCUUUUGGAAACAAAAUAUUUUUCUAGAACAUCCAUCUUUAAAAAACAGAGGGAGUACUAGUUAGAGAGGAGAGAUAGGUUCGAUUUGGUAUUUGGCAUUUCUAGAAGCUACAAAAGUGUACGGGCGAUAUACACACAUUAAGAAGUUUAUCAAACUAAAGAAAGAAAAUCGGGUAAUAAGUAGCAUGGUGCAUGUGGGCACAGCUAAGACUAUCUCCAAUUGGGUUUAUUCCCAUUGGAUUUCUUAAUACUUGUAUUAUGUUCUUCCCAUUGGAUUUCUUAAUAUAUAUAUUAUAUGUAUAUAUAUGUAUGUAUAUAUUAUAUAUGUAUAAAUAAUUGUGGAAUCCACAAUUAUUGUGGAAACCCAUAAAUAAAGAUUCUUAAAACCCUCUUUUAAGAACCUUUACCAGUUUUUUUUUUUUUGUAACAUGACUUUCUUAUAUAAAUGCAAAAGAAAAUUUCAAGUUUAUCAAACUAAAGAAAGAAAACCGGGUAAUAAAUAGCAUGGUGUAUGUGCACAAAGUUAACCUCAUCAAAAGGCCCAAUUAACGGGGUUUUUUUAACAUGACUUUCUUGUAUAAAUGCAAAAGAAAAUGAAAUGUUUUACAAGCCGAGAUUUUAGUUAGACAGGCCUAGCCCAAUACAUAUGACACAAAGAAAUCCAUAAUUCAGAACCCAAGUGACUAAUCCAGUCAAUAGAAUAGUAGGGGAUCGGGAAAGUUGAUCAUCGACGAAAGUUACGAUGUGGACAGCCAUAACUGCAUCAGGGAAGAGGAAAGAUGUGGGUUUGAGGGCCUGAUUGAGGAGAUCUUGUUUCGAAACAAGUGGUCAAGUUGCCUAAUCAAGGAAUCUUUGGAUCAGAUAAUUUGUAUGUGGAGUCGUGUGUUCCUCUCAGUCCAGACCAGGUAGAUUGUCGCCUGCCAGCAUCAAAGGGAGAGUUGAAAACCAUAGCUUUUUUUGUGGGAGAGUCUGCAUGCAAAGUAGCGUUGAGUUCCAGUCAGGGACAGCAGUCAUCAAGCAUUGAGAAGUUGUUGCAGUCCAAACACUGAAGCUGAAGGGGCAUGUGAAGAGCAAGUGGUCUCUGGUUUCAUCCACCGAGUUACAGAAGAGGCAAGUAGUAGGUGUUUGGAAACCCCAACUAUGGAGCCUGUCUCGAAUGGGACAUCUGUUCAAGACAAAAAGCCCAGCGAGGAAGCAGUGUCUCGGAAUUCCUCUUUUAAUCCAUACCGAUAGAAACCAAGAUACUUUAAGGAGGUUGAGCCAUUCACAUAGCGAGAUGUAAGAGAAGCUUUCCAAGGGAUGCCAAGAUGCGAAGUCUUAGUAGCUGAGAGAUAGUUAGCCAAGUUCCCAAAUAGAGACCAGUUGUCGGACCAAAACCGAGUUUUAGUUAUGUUACCUACUCUUAGUUGAAUCCAUGGGUAAAUUGUUUUCCUUAGCUUCAACAAUAUCCGCGUCAUCCAGAACAUAGAAUGAUUUGGGUUCACUGUCCAGAAGUUACUGAUAUCAUCUUUUAGGAUCUCUGCUCGGAACAAAGCAACCCAAAUCGAUCCUUCCCGAAAAAAAAUGAGCCAGCUGAAUUUAAGACAAGCAGCUUUGUUCCAGCACAGUAGGUCACGUAACCCCAAUCAUCCUUCUUGUUUUGUUUUAGUUACCUCAGACCAUGCCACCCUAACUGAUGCAUGACCUUCCAGGUUACCUUUCCAGAAGAAACAACCGCACAGAGAGUUGAUCAUUGAAAUGCAAGCCUUAUAAAGGAUAAAAACAGAAGACCAAAAGGUGGUGAUGCCAGCAAUCACAGUUUUGAUUAGGAGAAGUCUUCCCGCAAAAGAUAGAGGACAGUUUGUAGCGACGAUAGAGAAGAUUAGCAAAUCCUCUGCAAAACAAAGAUGAGUCAAUUUGGUUUUAGUGCACUGAUAGUGAUAGGAAAAGGAGCUAUGUAGCACGGGGACGUCUAUUUAGGUGCCGUACCGGUACCGGAAACGUUUCAGGGACGGGUACUUCACGGGGACAGCACUGGUACGGCUUGGGGA
Long non-coding RNA from Brassica napus (rape), 4029 nucleotides. RefSeq lists it as uncharacterized. Lineage: Eukaryota; Viridiplantae; Streptophyta; Magnoliopsida; Brassicales; Brassicaceae. The record is from RefSeq and is a predicted model, not a curated record. The transcript is spliced from 4 exons.